This 73-nucleotide transfer RNA is filed under the name Candidatus Magnetomorum sp. HK-1. It matches the Rfam family "tRNA". Rfam says of the family: Transfer RNA (tRNA) molecules are approximately 80 nucleotides in length. The record is from Rfam by way of RNAcentral. Lineage: Bacteria; Pseudomonadati; Thermodesulfobacteriota; Desulfobacteria; Desulfobacterales; Candidatus Magnetomoraceae.
GGUCCCAUCGUCUAGUGGUCCAGGACGCUGGCCUCUCACGCCGGUAACGCGGGUUCGAACCCCGCUGGGAUCA